UUUUCCAAGAGGAAAGUCCGGGCUCCGCAGAGCAAAGAGGGCAGCUAACGGCUGCUGAGAGUAAUCUUAAGGAAAGUGCCACAGAAAACAGACCGCCCUUUAUAAGGGUAAGGGUGAAAAGGUGGUGUAAGAGACCACCGGUUUUUUAGGAAACUAAAAAAGCCAGGUAAACCCCCUCUGGAGCAAGACUAAAUUGGAAAGGUUAAGGGCUGCUCGUCCGGCUUUCAGGGUAAGUUGCUUGAACUUUUAAGUAAUUAAAAGUCUAGAUAAAUGAUUAGCACAUACAAAACCCGGCUUAUAUGGUGCCUG
Molecule: RNase P RNA, 309 nt
Filed under: uncultured Fusobacterium sp.
Lineage: Bacteria; Fusobacteriati; Fusobacteriota; Fusobacteriia; Fusobacteriales; Fusobacteriaceae
Description: Bacterial RNase P class A
Rfam family: Bacterial RNase P class A
About the family: Ribonuclease P (RNase P) is a ubiquitous endoribonuclease, found in archaea, bacteria and eukarya as well as chloroplasts and mitochondria.
Source: RNAcentral